AUGACUACUUCUGUUUAUGGGCCACGGGAGAAUGAGAAUAAAGUUAGAUUCCUGGAGGAGACUGUGGAAAUUGGGGGCCUUGUUCAGACGCCAUGGAUCCUGAAUGGUGACUUUAAUCUGGUUUGCAAUGAGGAUGAGCGAAGUACGAGAAGAAUUAACGGAAGAUUGUCAAAUAAAUUCAGACAUACAAUUAACACCUUGGGCCUGCAUGACAUGCCACUGGUCGGGAGGAAGUUCACGUGGAGUAAUGAUCAAGAGCGCUCGGUCAUGGCAAGAUUAGACCGUGUGCUGUUCAAUAGUGAUUGGGAGGACACCUACCCCAUCAGCGACUUGCUGCCGCUUAGUUCCAACAUAUCGGAUCACUGUCCCCCUUUUCUCACUUGCUCUAUGAACAGGCCCAGACAACGUCGUUUUCGUUUCGAA
This 423-nucleotide ribosomal RNA is filed under the name Triticum aestivum (bread wheat). Its description in RNAcentral is "partial small subunit ribosomal RNA". Lineage: Eukaryota; Viridiplantae; Streptophyta; Magnoliopsida; Poales; Poaceae. The record is from RNAcentral.